This 86-nucleotide transfer RNA is filed under the name Pseudomonas sp. WS 5059. RNAcentral's name for it is "tRNA-Ser". The record is from RNAcentral. Lineage: Bacteria; Pseudomonadati; Pseudomonadota; Gammaproteobacteria; Pseudomonadales; Pseudomonadaceae.
AGCAGGUGGCGCCACCGGGACGGCAAGCGGCCUUGAAAGCCGUGCUACUGGAAACGGUAAGGGUUCGAUUCCUUCACCUGCUGCCA